CUUGUUAGAGAAUGUUAAAUGAGCAGGUCCCUGAGGAGGGGAGCUCAGCUUGGCGGGAUCUUGCCUGGAGGCUGGGUGUAGCGAUGCCUCCUCUUGCCCUCAUAGGAGCUGGUAACUUCGUGCAACAUUUGCCUGAUGUUGUAGGCUCCUGAAAUAUGCCUGAAAUAAACCCAUAUUGGAGUUGAAAAUAACAUAAUGUUCCAGGAAGUCAAAUUAAAAGCAUUUUUUUAAUCAGUGGGGCCUCCACAGGAAAGCAUUGCUAUGCAAGGAGACAGAGGCAGCGUCCAGUUAGCUGUGAGCAGGGCCUGCACGCGUGCACUGCUGUGUUUGCUGCUGUUACACGAGGGCUGUCAGCACAGUGCUGGGAAUGCUGGGGAGGCAGCGGAGAAGCUGAAGAGGUGAAGCAAUUUAGGACACAACCCAAAGGUUAUCCAAGCCGUCAGGAGGCUUCGUGUUGGUUCCUGCAGCCUUCGGCACAGGCACGGCUCCCCUCACUGUAACCACAUCUGAGCCACUGCAACAGGCAUUACUUAAUAGCGCUGAGAAGAGAAACAGAAGAAAAUUUCUUUGAAGAUAUGUGCCAAUCUCCCAAGUAGCAUUUCCAGCAAAAAGGCAACAUAAGAGCUACCACCGCUGCAGACAGAAAAGGAAAAUGCAGUCUUCUUCACCUCUCCAAAGCCGCAGUGCAACUGGUGCUGGUAAAUGGCUCUGAAAUAGAGGCUCAGACUUUCACCAUUGCUUGCUCCAUUUGUGAAUAUGUUCAUCUUGAUGAACUUAGAAGCAGUGUUGUAAAUGUCUUCCAGUUAGCUGUAUAUUGGAGGUUAUUGUAAGUCCCUUACCGAGGGAGGGUAUGGCUUAUUUUAAAUGGUGAUUGUGAGCACCGUUUUGUAAAUAAAAACUCACUCCCAAGGCUGUUGUGUUUUUGAGGCAGCCUCCUGCCAAGGUCCCAUGUGGAUUGGGAUUGUAUGCAAAGAUGCCAUCUCUUCUUUUCAACAACUAUUCCUCUCUGAUUGUGUAAAAUCCAUAGUUUUACCUGGGCCUGAAGAGGCAGGAGAGAAGACAGUGGAAAUGCAGGCAAAUGGAGGAGAGCCAUUUGCCACCAUCCAAACAGGUCUGCUUCAACCACUUUUCUGUUAUGUAUCUGCUUUUAGCCAGAGCUACUUGGUGCAAGCAGAGUUAGAGACC
Molecule: long non-coding RNA, 1185 nt
Filed under: Phasianus colchicus (ring-necked pheasant)
Lineage: Eukaryota; Metazoa; Chordata; Aves; Galliformes; Phasianidae
Description: lncRNA (ENSPCLG00000006402.1)
Source: RNAcentral